CAGCAGCCACGGUAAUACGUAGGUGGCGAGCGUUGUCCGGAAUUAUUGGGCGUAAAGGGAGCGCAGGCGGGCGAGUAAGUCUUUCUUAAAAGUGCGGGGCUCAACCCCGUGAGGGGAGAGAAACUACUCAUCUUGAGUGCAGGAGAGGAAAGCGGAAUUCCUAGUGUAGCGGUGUAAUGCGUAGAUAUUAGGAAGAACACCAGUGGCGAAGGCGGCUUUCUGGACUGUAACUGACGCUGAGGCUCGAAAGCCAGGGGAGCGAACGGGAUUAGAUACCCCAGUAGUCCCUGUCUCUUAUACA
Molecule: ribosomal RNA, 301 nt
Filed under: uncultured bacterium
Lineage: Bacteria
Description: partial 16S ribosomal RNA
Rfam family: Bacterial small subunit ribosomal RNA
Source: RNAcentral